Molecule: ribosomal RNA, 421 nt
Filed under: uncultured bacterium
Lineage: Bacteria
Description: bacterial SSU rRNA
Rfam family: Bacterial small subunit ribosomal RNA
Source: RNAcentral
AACGAACGCUGGCGGCAGGCCUAACACAUGCAAGUCGAACGAUAAGCCACCUUCGGGUGGUGGACAGUGGCAGACGGGUGAGUAACGCGUGGGAACGUGCCUUUCGGUUCGGAAUAACCCAGGGAAACUUGGGCUAAUACCGGAUACGCCCUUCGGGGGAAAGAUUCAUUGCCGAAAGAUCGGCCCGCGUCGGAUUAGCUAGUUGGUGGGGUAAUGGCUUACCAAGGCUACGAUCUGUAUCCGGUCUAAGAGGACGGUCGGACACACUGACACUGAAUAACGGGUCAGACUCCUACGGGAGGCAGCAGUCGGGAAUUUUGGGCAAUGGGGGAAACCCUGACCCAGCAACGCCGCGUGAAGGAUGAAGUAUUUCGGUAUGUAAACUUCGAAAGAAUGGGAAGAAUAAAUGACGGUACCAUUU